This is a non-coding RNA of Musa acuminata subsp. malaccensis (wild Malaysian banana), 3174 nucleotides long. The record is from RefSeq and is a predicted model, not a curated record. Lineage: Eukaryota; Viridiplantae; Streptophyta; Magnoliopsida; Zingiberales; Musaceae.
CUAGUCUUUUAUUUCUAAAGCAUUAUAGAGAAACACUUGGUUGCUUUUCACUUUUGCUUAUGACGUAAUUGCAGGAAUUCUGAACACUUCUCGUGCAAUUCCCUUUCUGAAACCUAUCAACCAUGAGCAUUAAUACGGAAGGGAUUCUACUAGUGUGACAGUAGUCUGUUUAUGCGCCUUCUGUAUCUCAAUCACUAAUUUUACCUAGUCUUCUUCCCUUUCCUCUCUUGAACUCUCACUAAGAUAACAAUUGGAAUUAAACUGGAAUGCAUCAGUAACCCAUUUGUCAUCCUUUUAUGUUUUUAAAUACUCAUUAAUUCACAACUGAUCUGAUCCUUCCUCUAUCGAGCAUUUUUAUGAUUACAUUUGGAGUCACAGCAGAAUGCAUAAAAAAUCUUUUCAUGCAAUCAAUCAACCGUUAUUCCUCUCUCUCGGACAUCAUAAUAACAUUUGGAAUUAUGUGGUAUAUUGAACACUCAUUUAACUCCCAAUUAAUGUUUCUUCCUCCUCUCUUGACUCAUGGUGGUAACAUUUGGAAUUACAUCGAUCACUUCUUUUCUUUAGUUUCAUUUUCAUAAGAAAAUAAUUUAUGUAGCAUACCAGAUUGUUCUUUCUUAAAAAAAAUCUGAUGGUUCUUCCUUUCUUCAGCUUUGGUGCAAGGGUGCUUGGUUCUUUGGUGUCGAGGACACAUGCUAGGCAAUACCAUUAAUCCAGUUGCAAAUGGUGCAUCCAUUUAAGUUGAUUGGUAUCAUUUUCAUAGUUGUUAUUAACUAAACUAUGCGUCACAAUAAAGGAUGAUUAAGAAAAUCAACCAAUUGCAUUUGUAAAUGAUAUGGGUCAGGUUCAUGGAUCCCUGGAUUUUUGUAGACUGAGUGGUCUUUUUAAGUUAAAUCAAGCUUAUCUGAGAACUUGCUAUGCUGUUACAUUCAAAAUUUUAAUCUUUGCCAAUCUGAUGUAUCCUUGAAAGUAAUUGGUGUUCUUGAAGAAGCCUGUGGUGAUGGUACCUUUUCAACAGACUCAGCUUCUAAGUCAUGUCCAUUGGAGGCUGAAAUAAGUCAGAACAUAAUCUGCAUAUGAGUGGGCACUGAAAUGAAAUAAAACCAGUGUUCUGAUUCUUACAGCUGAGGUCAAUCUAUAAUACCUUGUGGAUGAAACAUUUCAUUAUUAGGAGGUGACUGUUUUCUUGACUGACCAGUAGGCAAGUCUUGAGAAUGCCUACAUGCAAAUCUUCUGAUUCCAGCUAGCUGCACCUAGUGAAUCCUCAUAUGAUGAGACCACUUCUUGAUGUGAACCACCAGAAGUUCUAUGAACAGAUUAGCAUCAGCCAUUAAUGACCUACACCCCUUUCCAGUCAGAUGGAAGCCGAAGAUUCACCAUGUAUUCCUGUCAAUUUCUUUUAGAAUACUGAGGUCAGAAUAUCUGAUGCCAAUAGCUCUUCCAGGCGAAGAGGGGAACCAAACACCAGGACAAGGCUCGGUGGUUGAUGAAAUGUUUCUUAUGUAUUAAACAUUGGAAGCUGGUGGACAACCAAGGAUGCUGGUUCCGGUUGUUCCAGCAAUGAUGUAUCUAAUAGGUGGAGUGAGCAAGUAGGCUGUAAAAUUCUUCAUAUGCAUCUAUUAGCCUAAGUGCUGAAAGUUUUGCUUUUAGAACUUUUGAAUUGUUCCAUUCAUAAGGAGAAAAGCUAUUCUUUUAUGGGUUUUCUUAUCAGGAAAAUUGGAGUACGGGUUCUCUUCAAUAGCAAAUUGUUCUGAUCCUCCUUCCCAUAGCAUGAUAUUCGUAUCAAAUUAUGGCUUCAAACGUCCUGAUUCCUGCAGAAAUUGAAAUCAUUGUUUUUCAGUUGAUAGACGGUCAAAAUUCUGGACUGCUAGAUAGUCUCUAGUGUCAUAACUGCAGACAUUCAUUUCAUGGACAUAUAUGUGGAUGAAAUAUCACUUUUGAUUCUGACCGUCUUUUUGCAGUGCAAAUUUUUACUCCAUGCUGUAGACGAGGCUGGAACAUGAACAGUAUGGAACCUGUAAAAGAUCUCAGCUUUGAUUAUCCAGGGAUGAGGUCUUGAGCUCCUGGUGGAGGCAAUUCUGGCAUCUCUGCUCGUUAACGGGUGAGUUAUCACAUCUACCAUGCUUCUCAGUUGAGCUUUAGAUCAGAAUCCAGCAGCUGAAUGCUAGUACAGACAUGUGGAUUUCAUUAAAUAGGGUAUGUAUUUGUAUCGUUUCAACUUCAGAUUUAUUGCAGGACCACCUUGCAAUGAAUCGAGUAGGUGACUGUGCCUGCUGUUUCUUUAAAAACAACCUCAUUCACAGUUCAUAAAAUAUUUGCCUAGUCUUUCCUAGUUGGUCUCAGGGUAUAGAGAUUUUGGGGUUGUGAUCCACAAGGGAGUCAUCAAGGCAUGUGGGAAUAAAUGGGUGUCGUCAGUACUGAGCAAAAAAAAAAAGAAGCAGAAAAUAAUUGUGGUUAGCAUCGGAAAGUUAGAUCUUUUGGUCACUCAUCUUUUCUGGUCCAAAAGACUAUUCCUUUAUCACUGAUUGGGCCCACACAGCAACACUUUGAUGCAUGCACUUCUGAUAAAAAGAAUGGAAAAGAAAAAUGUAUAGCAUUAACAUCAGAGCUCACAAUUGCAUCAUCAUACCAGACCAGUUCAUGAUAGCAUGACUCAAAAAGGUCCCUUUCUGUGCUUGGGAAUGAUGAGAGUGCUUUGGCUCUCACCCUUGCCUGCCCACGUAGACAGACCAAGUCCUAAUUCGCUAAAGCCACCUUUGGAAGAGUGUUCAGCAAGACAACCAGCCAACUCAAAUGUGGUAUAUUAUCUUUGUGGCUUGUUCUCAGCCUCCUUCCUUGGUUGAGAUGAGUGUCAAAGUUAAUAGCAAGUGUCAAGUGCAGAGUUCUUGAAUAAAGAACUGAAAAGUUGCCUCACCAGAAUCAAGUGCUCACUUUUCCACAAAGAAAUGAUACAAAAAAAAUCUUCUCAUUCACUUUUUCUUAUGGCUGAUAGAAACAUCUUUAUAUUAGGAAAAGUUGGGAAAGGCAAAAAAGUUGCCAUGUAGCCUGCUUGCUUUUUAAUCAUUAGUUUUCCUUUGAACUAUGCCCUGGUAAUUAAAAGAAACAAGAAUUGUAAAGGGCAAACAGCCAUGUUCUUUUCCUUUUUCUAGGGUUCAUCCCACAUUCAUCAACACCAUC